This 71-nucleotide transfer RNA is filed under the name Stegodyphus mimosarum. It matches the Rfam family "tRNA". Rfam says of the family: Transfer RNA (tRNA) molecules are approximately 80 nucleotides in length. Their secondary structure includes four short double-helical elements and three loops (D, anti-codon, and T loops). The record is from Rfam by way of RNAcentral. Lineage: Eukaryota; Metazoa; Arthropoda; Arachnida; Araneae; Eresidae.
GCCUUCGUGGUGUAACUGUAGCACAUUAGGCACAUAUUCGAGAGGUCUAGGUUCGAGUCCCGGUGAGGGCA